Molecule: ribosomal RNA, 443 nt
Filed under: uncultured bacterium
Lineage: Bacteria
Description: partial 16S ribosomal RNA
Rfam family: Bacterial small subunit ribosomal RNA
Source: RNAcentral
CCUACGGGAGGCAGCAGUGGGGGAUAUUGGACAAUGGGGGGAACCCUGAACCAGCGACGCCGCGUGAGUGAAGAAGUCUUUCGGGAUGGAAAACUCUGUCAGCAGGGAAGAAAGCAAUGACGGUACCUGACCAAGAAGCCCCGGCUAAAUACGGGCCAGCAGCCGGGGUAAUACGGGGGGGGCAAGCGUUAUCCGGAAUUACGUGGUGUAAAGGGAGCGGAGAGGGCUGUGCAAGUCUGGAGUGAAAGGCGGGGGCCCAACCCCUGGACUGCCGUGGAACCUGUCUGGCUGGAGUGCAGGGGAGGUAAGCGGAAUGCCUGGUGUAGCGGUGAAAUGCGUAGAUAUUAGGCGGAACACCAGUGGCGAAGGCGGCUUACUGGACUGUAACUGACGUUGAGGCUCGAAAGCGUGGGGAGCAAACAGGAUUAGAUACCCGAGUAGUC